This is a long non-coding RNA of Adelges cooleyi (spruce gall adelgid), 358 nucleotides long. RefSeq lists it as uncharacterized. The record is from RefSeq and is a predicted model, not a curated record. NCBI's taxonomy places the organism in Eukaryota, Metazoa, Arthropoda, Insecta, Hemiptera, Adelgidae. The transcript is spliced from 2 exons.
GAUCAUAUUUCGCUUGACCGUUACUUCGCGUCCCAAACCAACUGACACAGCACCCCCGACUAUAGGUAGGGGAACGGUCGCACACACAGGACAAUGCACGUCGCGUAUCAUCUAAUUAACCAGUUGACUUUACCAUCACGGACCGCCAAUAUCCUCGACCUUGCGCUCUAUAUUUUUGCCGUUUUACUACAAGCCGCCCAUCCGACUAUCUUUUGUGUGCGUCCGUUUCAACUCCGCUUUGACCAACCAUUUCAUCGUCCAACCCAGGUCAGAGUGUAUAUAUAUAUAUAUAUAUAUUGUAUAAUUUUGUAUUUUAUUUAGAAACCCUAAUUUAGAAUAAAACAUCUUGUAGCCUGCA